RNAcentral lists this transfer RNA (73 nucleotides) under Streptomyces sp. CB02923. It matches the Rfam family "tRNA". Rfam says of the family: Transfer RNA (tRNA) molecules are approximately 80 nucleotides in length. Lineage: Bacteria; Bacillati; Actinomycetota; Actinomycetes; Kitasatosporales; Streptomycetaceae. The record is from Rfam by way of RNAcentral.
GCUCACCUAGUCCAACGGUAGAGACACACGGCUUAGACCCGUGGUGAUCCCGGUUCGAAUCCGGGGGUGAGUA